This is a non-coding RNA of Schistocerca gregaria, 72 nucleotides long. NCBI's taxonomy places the organism in Eukaryota, Metazoa, Arthropoda, Insecta, Orthoptera, Acrididae. The record is from the annotation of a RefSeq genome assembly.
GCCAGGGUGGCGUAGUGGUCAGCGCAUCUUCCUUGUGAGCAGGGGACCCGGGUUCGAAUCCCGGCCUUCGUA